Poecilia reticulata (guppy) is the source of this 1453-nucleotide RNA transcript. RefSeq lists it as uncharacterized. The record is from RefSeq and is a predicted model, not a curated record. Lineage: Eukaryota; Metazoa; Chordata; Actinopteri; Cyprinodontiformes; Poeciliidae.
AUGGCCUGGGAACGCCUUGGGGUUCCUGGAGGACCUGGAAGAGGCUGGAGAGGGAAGUCUGGGCCUCCUGAGGCUGCUGACCCCGAGACCCGACCCGGAUAAGAUGAAGAAAAUGGAUGGAUGGAUGGAUGUUUCUGAUUUAAUACUCAAGCAUCAUUAGGCUCUCAUUGUUAGAACAAAAACUCACUUGGGCGCCCCCUGUUGGUUGUUACGGAGAAGGCUUCUCAGAAUAAAAUGUGACAAUAAAGUCAAAAUAUUACAAGAGCCAUAAUUGCACCAGGAUAGGACGGUCCAUUAGGGAAAUAAAAUAGUAAUAUUAUGAGUUUCUCCAUGGCAAAUAAAAUUAACGUUAUAAAUGUUGAGCGUCUUGUGAGAAAAUCAAACUUUAUCUAUUAAACAUCUGAUUAUCAGCAGCUGAACUGAGUCACAUUGAAACAACUUGCUGGUAUUUUUGUGUUUUUAUAAUAUUUUGAUUAGAUUUUUUCCGUAACUUGGUGAUUUUGGCCGUGGUGGCAGAAGGUUUGGACUGUUUGUCUGAACCAGAACCAGAACCAUCAGAGGAGCCCAGUGGGUUUAGCUCCUGACAGAUUCCAGCGUUUAUUUUAAUCCUCAAACAGAUUUUAAGACAAGAUAAUCUGAGUAAAUAUGGAGAAAAUUCACACGAAGAACUGAUGUAUUAAAUAAUAAUCUAUAAAUAAAUAAUAAUCCUGUACCUGUUCCAUCAGCUGGUUCUGGUUCCGGCUGGCGAAUCAUCACCAAACAUUAACAUGAAUUUAUUUUUCUCUUCUGUUGUUUUGACCAGAUUUUUGCUGAUUUCUUCAGAAAGUUAUGAGCGUUGAGUUUUACGACGGAGCGUAACGAGAACCGCUGGGCCUCAUCUGGGGGUCAAAGUUCAGUGAUGGGAGGAAGAUUUUCAGCCAAGCUGGACGAUUUACUGUAACCACGGCAGGUUGCUGUAAAUCACGAGUCAUUUUCUGUUUUAUUCCAGCGCUGAGGAUAUGUCAUUUACUUUAUGUUAUUGUAGCAGUGUGAUGUUGUUACACUAGAUUGUCAAGUGAUAAGCUAUUCCGGUGGGAACUCGUAUGAGCACUGGUAGCUUUUAUUUUGAAAAGACGGCAAAUCCAUUGCAAAACAGCGGGUAACUUCCUGUUUCAAAAUUAUUAUUUUUAUUUAAAUGUGGUGUGUUGUGAAUGAAAAUGUGAAUUGUUUUCUCUACUAUUGAACAUAUUGAGUUCAUAUAUUGUUGUUUUGGGUGUUAAUUCGGGGUUUAAGGAGAAAAAUUAACGGGUCAUACCAUUAUAGUUCAUGAAAGGUUUUCCCACGCUCUCCGUCGCGCUCUUUCUGUUCGGAUUCCGUGGGAGAAGGCGCUGUGGAGCACUGAUCAGAAAAGGCCUGUUUUGACCACUAUUUUCUGCUGUUUGGAUGCAGGAGCAUUAAAAGUGCCUUCAGCUCA